This 1111-nucleotide ribosomal RNA is filed under the name uncultured bacterium. Its description in RNAcentral is "bacterial SSU rRNA". It matches the Rfam family "Bacterial small subunit ribosomal RNA", at positions 8 to 1104 of the family's 1533-position model. The record is from RNAcentral.
AGAGUUUGAUCAUGGCUCAGAUUGAACGCUGGCGGCAGGCCUAACACAUGCAAGUCGAGCGGUAACAGGGGUAGCUUGCUACCCGCUGACGAGCGGCGGACGGGUGAGUAAUGCAUAGGAAUCUGCCCGAUAGUGGGGGAUAAUCUGGGGAAACCCAGGCUAAUACCGCAUACGUCCUACGGGAGAAAGGGGGCUUCGGCUCCCGCUAUCGGAUGAGCCUAUGUCGGAUUAGCUAGUUGGUGAGGUAACGGCUCACCAAGGCCACGAUCCGUAGCUGGUCUGAGAGGAUGAUCAGCCACAUCGGGACUGAGACACGGCCCGAACUCCUACGGGAGGCAGCAGUGGGGAAUAUUGGACAAUGGGCGAAAGCCUGAUCCAGCCAUGCCGCGUGUGUGAAGAAGGCCCUCGGGUUGUAAAGCACUUUCAGCGAGGAAGAACGCCUAGCGGUUAAUACCCGCUAGGAAAGACAUCACUCGCAGAAGAAGCACCGGCUAACUCCGUGCCAGCAGCCGCGGUAAUACGGAGGGUGCAAGCGUUAAUCGGAAUUACUGGGCGUAAAGCGCGCGUAGGUGGCUUGAUAAGCCGGUUGUGAAAGCCCCGGGCUCAACCUGGGAACGGCAUCCGGAACUGUCAAGCUAGAGUGCAGGAGAGGAAGGUAGAAUUCCCGGUGUAGCGGUGAAAUGCGUAGAGAUCGGGAGGAAUACCAGUGGCGAAGGCGGCCUUCUGGACUGACACUGACACUGAGGUGCGAAAGCGUGGGUAGCAAACAGGAUUAGAUACCCUGGUAGUCCACGCCGUAAACGAUGUCGACCAGCCGUUGGGUGCCUAGCGCACUUUGUGGCGAAGUUAACGCGAUAAGUCGACCGCCUGGGGAGUACGGCCGCAAGGUUAAAACUCAAAUGAAUUGACGGGGGCCCGCACAAGCGGUGGAGCAUGUGGGUUUAAUUCGAUGCAAAGCGAAGAACCUUACCUACUCUUGACAUCCUGCGAAUUUGGGUAGAGAUACCUUUAGUGCCUUCGGGGAACGCAGAGACAGUUGCUGCAUGGCUGUCGUCAGCUCGGUGUUGGUGAAAUGUUGGGGUUAAGUCCCGGUAAACGGAGCGGCCAAUCU